CUGGCUUCAUAUUGCUGUCGAAGCAAUCAAUAUCAUGUGGUUGUCUCGGGCAUUAGUUUCAAGAAUGAAGCCGAUAAAAUCGUUCCCCUCGCUAUCCAGUGCUUCAUUCUUGGUGAAGUAAUUUGGACGUCGGGGAACCACAUUA
Molecule: non-coding RNA, 145 nt
Organism: Eucalyptus grandis
Lineage: Eukaryota; Viridiplantae; Streptophyta; Magnoliopsida; Myrtales; Myrtaceae
Source: Rfam